GCAGGGGUGGCCCAGCUUGGUCAAAGGCGCCAGGUUGAGGUCCUGGUCUCGUAGGAGUUCGUGAGUUCAAAUCUCACCCCCUGCA
RNAcentral lists this transfer RNA (85 nucleotides) under Thermoplasmata archaeon. RNAcentral's name for it is "tRNA-Leu". It matches the Rfam family "tRNA". Rfam says of the family: Transfer RNA (tRNA) molecules are approximately 80 nucleotides in length. Their secondary structure includes four short double-helical elements and three loops (D, anti-codon, and T loops). Lineage: Archaea; Methanobacteriati; Thermoplasmatota; Thermoplasmata. The record is from RNAcentral. RNAcentral also lists the same sequence under 8 other names.